CUGGCUCAGGAUGAACGCUGGCGGCGUGCUUAACACAUGCAAGUCGAACGAGGUUAAAGAAGAAAGCUUGCUUUCAUUUUUAACCGAGUGGCGGACGGGUGAGUAACGCGUAAGAAGCUGUCCGAUGCAGGGGGACAACAGACGAAAACAUCUGCUAAUACCCCAUAAGCCUUUGGGUAAAAGAAUAAUCGGCAUCGGAGGUGCUUGCGUCCUAUCAGCUAGUAGGGGCGGUAAAAGCGCACCUAGGCGAAGACGGGUAGCCGGACUGAGAGGUUGGACGGCCACAUUGGAACUGAGACACGGUCCAGACUCCUACGGGAGGCAGCAGUGGGGAAUAUUGGGCAAUGGGGGCAACCCUGACCCAGCGACGCCGCGUGAGUGAAGAAAUCCCUCGGGAUGUAAAGCUCUGUUGUACGGGACGAGAGAGAGACGGUACCGUACGAGGAAGCCCCGGCAAACUACGUGCCAGCAGCCGCGGUAAUACGUAGGGGGCGAGCGUUGUCCGGAAUUACUGGGCGUAAAGCGCACGCAGGCUGAUUGUUAAGUCAGAUGUAAAAUAGUGAGGCUCAACUUCAUUAUGAGUCUGAUACUGGCAGUCUAGAGUAUGUGAGAGGAAAGCGGAAUUCCUGGUGUAGCGGUGAAAUGCGUAGAUAUCAGGAGGAACACCGGUGGCGAAGGCGGCUUUCUGGCACAAGACUGACGCUCAUGUGCGAAAGCCAGGGGAGCGAACGGGAUUAGAUACCCCGGUAGUCCUGGCCGUAAACGAUGGAUACUAGGUGUGGGUGUCGCAGGGCAUCCGUGCCGGAGUUAACGCGAUAAGUAUCCCGCCUGGGAACUACGGCCGCAAGGCUGAAACUCAAAGGAAUUGACGGGGGCCCGCACAAGCGGUGGAGCACGUGGGUUUAAUUCGAUGCAAACCGGAAGAACCUUACCUGGAUUUGACAUACAUGUGGUAGUGAAGUGAAAGCGGAACGACCUUAGCUUGCUAAGGAGCAUGAACAGGUGCUGCAUGGUUGUCGUCAGCUCGUGUCGUGAGAUGUUGGGUUAAGUCCCGCAACGAGCGCAACCCCUAUGGUCAGUUGCUAACAGGAGAGCUGAGCACUCUGGCGAGACUGCCGCCGACAAGGCGGAGGAAGGUGGGGACGACGUCAAAUCAUCAUGGCCUUUAUGUCCAGGGCGACACACGUGCUACAAUGGCCGGCACAGACGGAAGCGACUUUGCGAAAAGGAGCGGAUCCUCGAAAGCCGGUCCCAGUUCGGACUGCAGUCUGCAACUCGACUGCACGAAGUCGGAAUCGCUAGUAAUCGCAGAUCAGCCAAGCUGCGGUGAAUACGUUCCCGGGCCUUGCACUCACCGCCCGUCA
RNAcentral lists this ribosomal RNA (1364 nucleotides) under uncultured bacterium. Its description in RNAcentral is "16S ribosomal RNA". It matches the Rfam family "Bacterial small subunit ribosomal RNA". The record is from RNAcentral.